GGGCCAUUGGCGCAGCUGGCUAGCGCGCAUGCAUGACACGCAUGAGGUCACAGGUUCAAGUCCUGUAUGGCCCA
This 74-nucleotide transfer RNA is filed under the name Phycisphaerae bacterium. RNAcentral describes it as "tRNA-Val". It matches the Rfam family "tRNA". Rfam says of the family: Transfer RNA (tRNA) molecules are approximately 80 nucleotides in length. Lineage: Bacteria; Pseudomonadati; Planctomycetota; Phycisphaerae. The record is from RNAcentral.